This 293-nucleotide ribosomal RNA is filed under the name Atopobium sp. Its description in RNAcentral is "partial 23S ribosomal RNA". It matches the Rfam family "Bacterial large subunit ribosomal RNA", at positions 2636 to 2925 of the family's 2925-position model. The record is from RNAcentral. Lineage: Bacteria; Bacillati; Actinomycetota; Coriobacteriia; Coriobacteriales; Atopobiaceae.
CCCUAUCCUCUGUGGGCGUAGGAAAAUUGAGGGAGGCUGCCCCUAGUACGAGAGGACCGGGGUGGACGGACCUCCGGUGUACGGGUUGUUAACCAAUAGCAUUGCCCGGUAGCUGAGUCCGGUCGGGAUAACCGCUGAAAGCAUCUAAGCGGGAAGCCCAUCCCAAGAUGAGUUUUCCUUUCGGUAAGACCCCUUGUAGACUACGAGGUUGAUAGGAUGCAGAUGUAAGUGCUGUAAGGCAUUCAGUCGAGCAUUACUAAUCGGUCGAGCUCUUCUUUUCUUUAAUAUAUUUU